CUCCAAGGGCAGACAGGGAUCAUGCAUUUACUGCACCUUGGGUAGUCUCCACCUACCAGAUAAUAUCAGGAGUCCACAUCUAUCACUUCUCUCACUUUCCUGUAAAUGCCAGAGUGGUGGAAGUCCAUUAUGGGACCCUAGAAAUGUAAGUGUAAGCAUGAAUCUAACCGUAAGCAUUACGUGCAAAGUUAGCUGUGUCAGAGUGAUACACGGUACUCAUCUUGCUUCUGGAAACAUUGGACCUGAAAAUUGUAUGCGUUUCAAAUAUGUUUGUAUUAUAAUUGAUAAUGCCUCAUUUGUAUUCCUUCAUCUAACCAAUUCUAUUUAGUGCUUGGACGGAUUUUAAUUUUUUUUUUUUUUAGUGUUCCAUUCCUUAUUCUGAGCUGAUUUCAACCUUCAACCUUGAUUUAAUAUUCACACUUGUGAUAUUGGCAACUAUAAUGCUUGUGUUGCCACCUCCUAAAGAGAAAAGAGAAUUAAGAUUUUAUGCACAGAAGUCAAAUGAUGAUCGUGGGCAACUGAUCGUUGUGUUGCCACUCCCUGAUUAGAAAAGAGAAUAUUUGUAGUAAUGUUAACGAUUAAAAUGAUGAAUGUCGGGCAUCCAUUACUGCUCGGGUUGCAAAGGCCUGACGAGAAAAGAGAACAAAUUUAGUUUAAAUGCAAGACAUUUAUAGAUCGUUUAAACUAUUAAUGUUGGUGAAUCAAAAAACAUUGAUUACAACCUACACAAAUAUUUGCGUGUUUUGCCGAUAUCAACUAGGGACUGGCUCCCUGUAUUUUCAGCACCAAGACACACACAGAGAGAGAGAUGUGUCGUGGGAGAGGCUGAGGGUUUGAUUUACGAGGAGGGUUUAGCGGGAGGAAGAUUGGUGGUGGUGUGUUCAUUAAGACAGUGGAGGAGGAGAAGCGAGACGGGGUUGGGGAGAGAGAGAGAGAGAGAGAGAGAGAGAGAGAGAGAGAGAGAGAGAGAGAGAGAGAGAGAGAGAGAGAGAGAGAGAGAGAGAGAGAGAGAGAGAGAGAGAGAGAGAGAGAGAGAGAGAGAGGCCAGUGAGGGGACGGGGUGUUAGACUGGGCCUGGAGGGGGGUGGUGGGGA
This 1094-nucleotide long non-coding RNA is filed under the name Gadus morhua (Atlantic cod). RNAcentral describes it as "lncRNA (ENSGMOG00000027389.1)". Lineage: Eukaryota; Metazoa; Chordata; Actinopteri; Gadiformes; Gadidae. The record is from RNAcentral.